Molecule: small RNA, 290 nt
Organism: Polaromonas sp. JS666
Lineage: Bacteria; Pseudomonadati; Pseudomonadota; Betaproteobacteria; Burkholderiales; Comamonadaceae
Rfam family: 5' ureB small RNA
Source: Rfam
CUUCUUCAAUCUGCUGCGGGCAAAUGAAGUGGAUGUGCGAGUCGAUGCCGCCGGCGGUGACGAUCAUGCCUUCGCAGCUGAUGAUCUCGGUACCGGGGCCAAUGAUCAUGUCCACGCCGGGUUGGGUGUCGGGGUUGCCGGCCUUGCCAAUGACGGCGAUGCGGCCGCCUUUGAGGCCGAUAUCGGCCUUGACGAUGCCCCAGUGGUCCAUGAUGAGGGCGUUGGUCAUCACCGUGUCCAUCGCCCCUUCGGCGCGGGUUUUUUGCGACUGCGCCAUGCCGUCGCGAAUG